GCCUUCGUGGUGUAGUGGUCAGCACGCUCGACGCGUAUUCGAGAGGUCCGUGGUUCAAUUCCCGGCGAAGGCG
Molecule: transfer RNA, 73 nt
Filed under: Stegodyphus mimosarum
Lineage: Eukaryota; Metazoa; Arthropoda; Arachnida; Araneae; Eresidae
Description: tRNA-Thr for anticodon CGU
Rfam family: tRNA
About the family: Transfer RNA (tRNA) molecules are approximately 80 nucleotides in length.
Source: Rfam by way of RNAcentral